Molecule: long non-coding RNA, 432 nt
Filed under: Capsicum annuum
Lineage: Eukaryota; Viridiplantae; Streptophyta; Magnoliopsida; Solanales; Solanaceae
Description: long non-coding RNA (CANN_LNC008303)
Source: RNAcentral
UGUGAUUUGGCCCUUGAAUUUGAGAGCUAAGGUUCCUUGGCUUGAGAGAGAGCAACACAAUUUGGGAAAAAAAGAGUGAAUAAUGAUAUCCUUAGGUCAUGUAGGGUUAAAUUUCGUGUUUAAGGCUGAACUAAAAUCAUGGGAAAAUACCUAUUUAACCCUGGACGCGUCUUUUGAUUUUUGUCAAAAUUUCCCGAUUUGGUAGGCUGGCGCGAUGCGGCGCUAUCGUGCCGUGUCACUGGAAAUUGCACACUGGGAACUGGGUUGACGGCGCGACGCGGUGAAAUCGCGUUGCAAUACUGUAUGGGACCUGGAUGUUUGGCGCGACGCGGAGACAUCACGCUGAGACAUUGGAAAAAGGAUAAUUGUGAAUUUGAGCCCUAGCGUGACGCACCAUAAUCACGGAGGCUCACUGGAUUUUGACGAUUGCCA